RNAcentral lists this ribosomal RNA (232 nucleotides) under uncultured bacterium. RNAcentral describes it as "partial 16S ribosomal RNA". It matches the Rfam family "Bacterial small subunit ribosomal RNA", at positions 545 to 776 of the family's 1533-position model. The record is from RNAcentral.
GCGGAAUCACUGGGCUUAAAGCGUGUGUAUGCGGGCCCGUAAGUGUCUUGUGAAAUCCCACGGCUCAACCGUGGAACUGCUGGGCAUACUGCGGGUCUUGGGCCAACUAGGGGCAGCCGGAACAAGCGGUGGAGCGGUGAAAUGCGUAGAUAUCGCUUGGAACGCCGAAGGUGAAAACAGGCUGCUGGGGUUGCGCCGACGCUGAGACACGAAAGCCAGGGGAGCAAACGGG